UACAGGGGGUGCUAGCGUUGUUCGGAAUUACUGGGCGUAAAGGGCGCGUAGGCGGUCUUGUAAGUCAGGAGUGAAAUCCCAGAGCUUAACUUUGGAAUUGCUUUUGAAACUACAAGACUAGAGUGAGUUAGAGGAUGGCGGAAUUCCUAGUGUAGUGGUGAAAUACGUAGAUAUUAGGAAGAACACCGGUGGCGAAGGCGGCCAUCUGGGACUCAACUGACGCUGAGGCGCGAAAGCGUGGGGAUCAAACAGG
Molecule: ribosomal RNA, 253 nt
Filed under: uncultured bacterium
Lineage: Bacteria
Also listed under: 1 other name
Description: partial 16S ribosomal RNA
Rfam family: Bacterial small subunit ribosomal RNA
Source: RNAcentral